This 221-nucleotide unclassified non-coding RNA is filed under the name Hevea brasiliensis (rubber tree). The record is from RNAcentral. Lineage: Eukaryota; Viridiplantae; Streptophyta; Magnoliopsida; Malpighiales; Euphorbiaceae.
CCAAAUUGGUGGUCGGUAAUUCCACUAAUUGGGAAUUUGAAAACAAAAAGGAAGAAAAAGUUUGGUUUAGCCUAUAACUUUUGACUAGCUAGAUAUACUGUUUCCGGUGCUGAAGGAUCUCAACUACUUUGCUCAUGGUGGGUCUUGCAUCUUUGUCUUCUUCUACACAUUGCAGAGCCAACAUUACCAGAAUUUCUAUCUCACCCUCAUCGUAGUCUCCU